GAUCCUGCUCAGAUUGAACGCUGGCGGCAUGCUUUACACAUGCAAGUCGAACGGCAGCACAGGGAGCUUGCUCCCGGGUGGCGAGUGGCGCACGGGUGAGUAAUACAUCGGAACGUGUCCUGUUGUGGGGGAUAACUGCUCGAAAGGGUGGCUAAUACCGCAUGAGACCUGAGGGUGAAAGCGGGGGAUCGCAAGACCUCGCGCAAUUGGAGCGGCCGAUGCCCGAUUAG
This 230-nucleotide ribosomal RNA is filed under the name uncultured bacterium. Its description in RNAcentral is "partial 16S ribosomal RNA". It matches the Rfam family "Bacterial small subunit ribosomal RNA", at positions 15 to 244 of the family's 1533-position model. The record is from RNAcentral.